UCCCAGACUCCUACGGGAGGCAGCAGUGGGGAAUAUUGCACAAUGGGGGAAACCCUGAUGCAGCAACGCCGCGUGAGUGAAGAAGUAUUUCGAUAUGUAAAGCUCUAUCAGCAGGGAAGAAGAUGACGGUACCUGAGUAAGAAGCCCCGGCUAACUACGUGCCAGCAGCCGCGGUAAUACGUAGGGGGCAAGCGUUAUCCGGAUUUACUGGGUGUAAAGGGAGCGUAGACGGCAUAGCAAGUCUGAAGUGAAAGCCCGAGGCUCAACCAUGGGACUGCUUUGGAAACUGUUAAGCUAGAGUGCAGGAGAGGUAAGCGGAAUUCCUAGUGUAGCGGUGAAAUGCGUAGAUAUUAGGAAGAACACCAGUGGCGAAGGCGGCUUACUGGACAGUAACUGACGUUGAGGCUCGAAAGCGUGGGGAGCAAACAGGAUUAGAUACCCGGGUA
Molecule: ribosomal RNA, 446 nt
Filed under: uncultured bacterium
Lineage: Bacteria
Description: bacterial SSU rRNA
Rfam family: Bacterial small subunit ribosomal RNA
Source: RNAcentral